GCAAAGGAUAUCGUGGAACCUUUCGCUAUCUAUAUCGCUCAACUCAUUCAUCUCUUUCUGCAGUUCUGGCCGGCUCAAUUUCUUUUAGAUUACAGCAUCCUUCCUUACGAAUCAAUUUGCAAAUCAAAUUGGUAUUAUACUUCGAGGCGAUGUCGAAAACUUCUUUUUUUAAUUAUGAAUAGAAGCGUGUUACCAUGCAAAAUAACUGCUGGCAAGGUCGUGCCUCUGACUAUUGAAAACUUUGGCAAGGUUCUAAAAACAAUGAUGUCUUAUUUCACAAUGCUGCGAUCCUUCAAUUGAUAACUUCAACACAUCUCUGUCAUUCGGCUUUUUAACAAAAUCAUAAGAUGUAUUUACUCAUGGCCACGACAGUUUCUCUGUCAUACAACUUUUUAACAAAAUAGUAAAAUAUAUAUAUAUUAACUCGUGGUUUUUGCCAUAACAGCAAGCGAUCGAUUUGGAUUACUUUAAAGAUAUU
Temnothorax curvispinosus is the source of this 478-nucleotide long non-coding RNA. RefSeq lists it as uncharacterized. The transcript is spliced from 3 exons. The record is from RefSeq and is a predicted model, not a curated record. Lineage: Eukaryota; Metazoa; Arthropoda; Insecta; Hymenoptera; Formicidae.